This 30-nucleotide non-coding RNA is filed under the name Mus musculus (house mouse). The record is from RNAcentral. Lineage: Eukaryota; Metazoa; Chordata; Mammalia; Rodentia; Muridae.
UGAACAGUUUUCAAAAGUGGCGGCCCAUUC